AUGCAGCGUGCGAUGGCGCGCACGACCAGGAGUAUGGCGGCGCAAAGGCGCAGCGAGGCGGGCGCAGACCACGGCGAGGAGCAGGACCACGUCGUGGAGGCGAUGACCACGCCAAACAGCCAACCGUCAGGCGCAAUGGAUUCUCAUGGAGCACAAGGCGGUGCUGGGGCUAUCACUGGGAAUGUUAACCUAGCUACUUCCCCAACUCAAGCUACUACUGUGAGAGCAUCACAAGGUCAUGGUGGUGAUGGGUCUGUUAGAGUUGUAAUAAAAGAAAGCUCACAUCAAUUGUGUGGGAAGGAAUUUUUGAAAAGAAAAUUAUUAAUGGGGAACCGAAAGCUGAGUGCAUGA
Molecule: ribosomal RNA, 351 nt
Filed under: Triticum aestivum (bread wheat)
Lineage: Eukaryota; Viridiplantae; Streptophyta; Magnoliopsida; Poales; Poaceae
Description: partial small subunit ribosomal RNA
Source: RNAcentral